CCUACGGGAGGCAGCAGUGAGGAAUAUUGGACAAUGGGCGCAAGCCUGAUCCAGCCAUGCCGCGUGCAGGAUGACGGUCCUAUGGAUUGUAAACUGCUUUUAUACAGGAAGAAACACCCCGACGUGUCGGGACUUGACGGUACUGUAAGAAUAAGGAUCGGCUAACUCCGUGCCAGCAGCCGCGGUAAUACGGAGGAUCCAAGCGUUAUCCGGAAUCAUUGGGUUUAAAGGGUCCGUAGGCGGUUAGAUAAGUCAGUGGUGAAAGCCCAUCGCUCAACGGUGGAACGGCCAUUGAUACUGUUUAACUUGAAUUAUUAGGAAGUAACUAGAAUAUGUAGUGUAGCGGUGAAAUGCUUAGAGAUUACAUGGAAUACCAAUUGCGAAGGCAGGUUACUACUAAUGGAUUGACGCUGAUGGACGAAAGCGUGGGUAGCGAACAGGAUUAGAUACCCUGGUAGUCCACGCCGUAAACGAUGGAUACUAGCUGUUGGAAGCAAUUUCAGUGGNUAGAGAAGUAGAUAAGUAUACCACCUCGGGAGGUACGUUACGUCGAAGAAGUAGAAACGUACGAAAGAAAGUUAGUACGGACGUGAGACGUGACCGACGGACGACGACGAGGGAGGAGG
RNAcentral lists this ribosomal RNA (626 nucleotides) under uncultured bacterium. Its description in RNAcentral is "bacterial SSU rRNA". The stretch from base 1 to 532 matches the Rfam family "Bacterial small subunit ribosomal RNA", at positions 338 to 873 of the family's 1533-position model. The record is from RNAcentral.